CCAGUCUUCAUUUCCACUAAGACCUCCAAUUCAUGUGUGUUGUCACUUUUUUACUGUUAUUCUCUUUACGUCCUCAUUUCCAUGGUCAUUGCUGAAAUCACUCAGAUAUCUUUAUUUCUCCUGUCCUUUCCAUUUGUGUCACGUAUCUGGCAAAACCCCAAAUAUCUGCCUACUCCCUGCUUGUACUCAAGCUGAAGCUGCUAGAGAAAACCCACAUCUGUGUGUCUGUUCUCACUUUAAUUUUAAGACUGCAAAUCUCAGAUGGGAGACCAUGCAAUCCUACGAUUCUGUAGUGAAUAUGUUUCUCUAAUCUCCAAUACUGACUUUUUCCCCCUUAGACCUCUUCAUCCUCAGCUUGAUUCCUACCGUAUUGAACUUUGUCUGCAAUCAGAUAUUAUUAGAUGUACCUAUUUUCUCACUGUCUCAGGUGGUAACUUGUCUGUUUAUCCAUGCUCUUUGGCUUCCCCUAUUAAAAUGAAAGUAUUCCUAAAAUAAUCUAAGCUCAGCCCCUAUACUUAUGUUCUAGAUUUCACCUCUACUUACCCACUGCAGUAAGUAAAGCCUUCUUUGUAUUAUAUUACUAGUGUCUUCUCCAUGACUAGCUUAUUCUGAUUGGCAUAUAAGCAUGCUUAAAUAUCAUUUGUAAACA
RNAcentral lists this long non-coding RNA (649 nucleotides) under Marmota monax (woodchuck). Lineage: Eukaryota; Metazoa; Chordata; Mammalia; Rodentia; Sciuridae. The record is from RNAcentral.